AAGGGCACCACAAGAACGCGUGGAGCAUGUGGCUUAAUUUGACCCAACGCGGGAAAUCUUACCGGGUCCGGACACACUGAGGAUUGACAGGCAAUAUUAGCAGUGCAGCGUUCCCUCGUGGUUCGCUUGCAUUGUUAUGUUAAAUAUGCUAGUCCUUUCAUGAUUAUGUGAUAGGUGGUGCAUGGCCGUUCUUAGUUCGUGGAGUGAUCUGUCUGCUUAAUUGCGUUUCACUAAGGGCCUAUAAUUUAACGUGUGUUGCGGCACUUUGACCCCUCUCUGAGCGCGCGUCUUAGUUUGUUUAGCUCACACAAUUAGGUCCUGAAAGCAACGAACGUGACCG
This 340-nucleotide ribosomal RNA is filed under the name Foraminifera environmental sample. Its description in RNAcentral is "SSU rRNA". It matches the Rfam family "Eukaryotic small subunit ribosomal RNA", at positions 1160 to 1441 of the family's 1831-position model. The record is from RNAcentral. Lineage: Eukaryota; Foraminifera.